Molecule: long non-coding RNA, 307 nt
Organism: Salmo salar (Atlantic salmon)
Lineage: Eukaryota; Metazoa; Chordata; Actinopteri; Salmoniformes; Salmonidae
Source: RefSeq, a predicted model, not a curated record
GAACACCUGCCUCUCAACUAUAUUGAUACAUACAGUAUAACAUCUUCUCUGUACUACUUAAGCUGAGUAUCUCUCUCCCUGUAGGCCCCCUCAGCCCCAGAGAAACAACCAGGACCCCCAACAGGACCAAGGAUCUACCCUGGGCCAGGCUCCUGAUACUGGGUAUACACAUCAGCAGCAUGGUGACACUAACAUCUACGAUACGAUCAAUCCCUCAGACAACAAUGAUAAUGAUGCUGCUGGUGCUUCUGCUGCUGGACCAAGUCAUGUGACUUACGCCCAGAUUCAACUGAACAAGUUGAACAAG